UACAGAGGGGGCAAGCGUUGUUCGGAAUUACUGGGCGUAAAGGGCGCGUAGGCGGCCUGUUAAGUCGAACGUGAAAUCCCUGGGCUCAACCCAGGAACUGCGUCCGAUACUGGCAGGCUUGAAUUCGGGAGAGGGAUGCGGAAUUCCAGGUGUAGCGGUGAAAUGCGUAGAUAUCUGGAGGAACACCGGUGGCGAAGGCGGCAUCCUGGACCGGCAUUGACGCUGAGGCGCGAAAGCCAGGGGAGCAAACGGG
This 253-nucleotide ribosomal RNA is filed under the name uncultured bacterium. RNAcentral's name for it is "partial 16S ribosomal RNA". It matches the Rfam family "Bacterial small subunit ribosomal RNA", at positions 524 to 776 of the family's 1533-position model. The record is from RNAcentral.